This 244-nucleotide ribosomal RNA is filed under the name uncultured bacterium. RNAcentral's name for it is "partial 16S ribosomal RNA". It matches the Rfam family "Bacterial small subunit ribosomal RNA", at positions 89 to 334 of the family's 1533-position model. The record is from RNAcentral.
UGGCGACCGGCGCACGGGUGAGUAACACGUAUCCAACCUGCCGUCUACUCUUGGCCAGCCUUCUGAAAGGAAGAUUAAUACCCGAUGGUAUAAUCAGACCGCAUGGUUUGAUUAUUAAAGAAUUUCGGUUAUCGAUGGGGAUGCGUUCCAUUAGGCAGUUGGUGAGGUAACGGCUCACCAAACCUUCGAUGGAUAGGGGUUCUGAGAGGAAGGUCCCCCACAUUGGAACUGAGACACGGUCCAA